RNAcentral lists this ribosomal RNA (1346 nucleotides) under uncultured bacterium. RNAcentral's name for it is "partial 16S ribosomal RNA". It matches the Rfam family "Bacterial small subunit ribosomal RNA", at positions 28 to 1381 of the family's 1533-position model. The record is from RNAcentral.
GACGAACGCUGGCGGCGUGCUUAACACAUGCAAGUCGAACGGAAAGGCCCUGCUUUUGUGGGGUGCUCGAGUGGCGAACGGGUGAGUAACACGUGAGUAACCUGCCCUUGACUUUGGGAUAACUUCAGGAAACUGGGGCUAAUACCGGAUAGGAGCUCCUGCUGCAUGGUGGGGGUUAGAAAGUUUCGGCGGUUGGGGAUGGACUCGCGGCUUAUCAGCUUGUUGGUGGGGUAGUGGCUUACCAAGGCUUUGACGGGUAGCCGGCCUGAGAGGGUGACCGGCCACAUUGGGACUGAGAUACGGCCCAGACUCCUACGGGAGGCAGCAGUGGGGAAUAUUGCACAAUGGGCGGAAGCCUGAUGCAGCAACGCCGCGUGCGGGAUGACGGCCUUCGGGUUGUAAACCGCUUUCGCCUGUGACGAAGCGUGAGUGACGGUAAUGGGUAAAGAAGCACCGGCUAACUACGUGCCAGCAGCCGCGGUGAUACGUAGGGUGCGAGCGUUGUCCGGAUUUAUUGGGCGUAAAGGGCUCGUAGGUGGUUGAUCGCGUCGGAAGUGUAAUCUUGGGGCUUAACCCUGAGCGUGCUUUCGAUGCGGGUUGACUUGAGGAAGGUAGGGGAGAAUGGAAUUCCUGGUGGAGCGGUGGAAUGCGCAGAUAUCAGGAGGAACACCAGUGGCGAAGGCGGUUCUCUGGGCCUUUCCUGACGCUGAGGAGCGAAAGCGUGGGGAGCGAACAGGCUUAGAUACCCUGGUAGUCCACGCUGUAAACGGUGGGUACUAGGUGUGGGGUCCAUUCCACGGGUUCCGUGCCGUAGCUAACGCUUUAAGUACCCCGCCUGGGGAGUACGGCCGCAAGGCUAAAACUCAAAGGAAUUGACGGGGCCCCGCACAAGCGGCGGAGCAUGCGGAUUAAUUCGAUGCAACGCGUAGAACCUUACCUGGGUUUGACAUGGAUCGGGAGUGCUCAGAGAUGGGUGUGCCUCUUUUGGGGUCGGUUCACAGGUGGUGCAUGGCUGUCGUCAGCUCGUGUCGUGAGAUGUUGGGUUAAGUCCCGCAACGAGCGCAACCCUUGUUCACUGUUGCCAGCACGUUAUGGUGGGGACUCAGUGGAGACCGCCGGGGUCAACUCGGAGGAAGGUGGGGAUGACGUCAAGUCAUCAUGCCCCUUAUGUCCAGGGCUUCACGCAUGCUACAAUGGCUGGUACAGAGAGUGGCGAGCCUGUGAGGGUGAGCGAAUCUCGGAAAGCCGGUCUCAGUUCGGAUUGGGGUCUGCAACUCGACCUCAUGAAGUCGGAGUCGCUAGUAAUCGCAGAUCAGCAACGCUGCGGUGAAUACGUUCCCGGGGCU